Molecule: ribosomal RNA, 403 nt
Filed under: uncultured bacterium
Lineage: Bacteria
Description: bacterial SSU rRNA
Rfam family: Bacterial small subunit ribosomal RNA
Source: RNAcentral
UGGGGAAUAUUGGACAAUGGGCGCAAGCCUGAUCCAGCAAUGCCGCGUGAGUGAGGAAGGCCUUAGGGUUGUAAAGCUCUUUCACCCACGACGAUGAUGACGGUAGUGGGAGAAGAAGCCCCGGCUAACUUCGUGCCAGCAGCCGCGGUAAUACGAAGGGGGCGAGCGUUGUUCGGAUUUACUGGGCGUAAAGGGCGCGCAGGCGGCGGACCAAGUCAGGCGUGAAAGCCCCGGGCUUAACCUGGGAGGUGCGUCUGGGACUGGUAUGCUAGAGUUCGGGAGAGGAGAGUGGAAUUCCCAGUGUAGAGGUGAAAUUCGUAGAUAUUGGGAAGAACACCGGUGGCGAAGGCGGCUCUCUGGACCGAGACUGACGCUGAGGCGCGAAAGCGUGGGGAGCAAACAG